CACCGGGACGCACCUCUGACAAUCACGACAAAGAGCUGGAGACGUGGGUAAACAAUGGGAGAUUGACGGGACAAAAGUGAAGUUUGAAUCUUCUCUGGGACUAUGAGAAAGAUAAGAUUUGAGGAGUUGUAAUUUAACUUCAGAUACAGUCCACACCUAGUCCAGAUCUACAACCUGCUGAUCAAGACAGAUGUUGACUAGAGCAAAGUCAUGCGCGUGCCUGCUCCACAAACGUACAGUUUCGCUCCGGUGCUGGGAUUACGCCUAAGGUCUGUCACUAUGGAGCAGCUCUGUUACAAAGGUCAGACGUAAAUAGUUCAGUUGAAUGGGGAGGCUUAAUUUCUGUCUGCCUGUCUGUCUGUCCAGUUGACGUUGGGGAUUACACAUAACCACUGUGAAUUACUCUUGCGAUUCUGUGUGUGUUUUGAGCACUUCUCGUUUGUGUGUUAGUAGCAGCGACAAUAAAGAUCAUAAAAGUUGUCGAAACUUAGGUCAGAGGGACGUAAUGGUAGUGGUUGACGCAAGGCCGGAGCCACUCAUACAUUCCUCUCAUUGUUCAGGGGCCCUGUAAGUCUGCAAGCUCCCAAACCUCCAUGAAAGGAAGGGAAUCCAGGGACUACUGUACUCUAGCUUAGCCACUCCGGUGCAAAGAUGGCUCGCAAGCUCUUCCUGUCUACUCCUCUGUCUUGAGUUACUUAUGGAAGUAUCUGUGAAGGCCAAUCUGAGUAUAAGUUAUCACUAUAGACUUUAGAAAAUGAAGCUAGAAGAGGGUACGGUGAAUUAAACAACCGAGAACAUAGGAGAAAGGUAAGAGUUAUUAUUUCUUUAAUCAUACUGUAGCUGGUUGUGGCAAAGAAAGUGGAGAGUAGAGAGUUUGGUUUGUAGAAGUUUGGUGGAGUGGCAGGCUGAUUGGGGUGGGUGUGCCCUCAGAUGUAUAGACCCAGGCCUCGGAAACCCUGGCGUAGUGGAAUAAAAGUGUGUGGUUUGUGUACAUCAUGUGUGUAUGCAUUGCAGUGGCAGCAGCACAGCACUGGAUAAGUACAGGGCGGCUAGUGGUACUGGUGGUGAGGCUGUUUGGCAACGAGUCAGGCUUAUAGGAUAGAGUUACACUGGGCUGAAGGGAUCAACCAAGAGCCUGGGCUGGGCGCUUCCCUUUACAACACUAUUUAACCUUAAAAAUCCAUACCUGGGAAUACUUUUUCUUCUGUCCCAAAUGCAGUACACUGCUUCAACAUGCUUAGUUUUAAUCUUGGGAAAAUAUGAAAACAUACAAGUCCCAAAUCCGCUGAAUGUCAUUGAAUGUCACAGCCGGAGUGAUAAUUACACCCUCGCACGCAACAUGAAACAAAUACAGUUUUUAGUCACUCAUAGCCAGACGCUCGGUGUCUGGUGUGAGCGGCCACUGAUAGGGCGUGGUGCUGUGAGUAAGGUGAACAAGGUCAACAAUCUGUGGUUAAACCGGCAGCAUGUAAAUGAGGCUUACAAUUUUAGUCAUUGUAAUGGUCUAUAUGAAGGAAGGCUGAUUACUAUUAAUCUUUAGCUUUUUGCUGUAAGUGGUUUUAGCUUGAAUAUUGUGCCACUUUUUUUAGUAGGUUUUUCGCCUUUAUAGUUGGUAGUGUAAAACUGGUGUAAAUGAUAGAAAAGCGUAUUUGAUCACAUAGAAGUCAUUUUUGCACUGGGAAUUAAGAAAUUAUUGUAACAUACAUACAUAACAUACACAUCUACUUUGAUACACUACUGCUUGCCAUUGCAACUGGAUACCUGGCUUUCACGUGUCUUUAGUGUCUUUAAAAACAAAUUGCCCACUGUAAAAGUCUUUGUACUAAGCAUCCAUAGUUAAAGUUGCAAAGCAGUGUAGAGCAGUGAGUGAGUGAGUGGUGGGUUCAUCCUCAUUGCUGUUUCCUCACAGCGGUUAGCAGGCCUGAGGUGCAAGUGAUGUCAGAUGGCGUGUAUUUUUGUGUUAUUGUAUAUUCAUGCAACAGAUUGAGAGUACUUAUACCAUAAUUGUAUAUGUUAAUUGAUUGGAACUGAAAUUGUGGUUCAUAUAUUCUGAGUGAGCAUAGGAAAGGGGAGAGGGAUGAGAUGUGUUGAAAAAAACAAGAGGUCGAGAUCCAGCUGUCUCAACAGAGGCUUUUCCACUUAACCGUGUGCCCUUGUGUAAACGGCAAAGUCAGUCCUGGACAGGCUCAAGAACACAGAAAAAAUCUGUGGCCACGUCUACACCCACAUCUCCAUAUGCUGUUUGCUCCAUUUUAAGUGUAGUCCUAGCUAUAUAUGCCAAUAGUAUAAACAGUACAGUCAUUUAAAACCAACAAAAUUACCCCCGAACUAAGUGGAACUCAUGAAGACAGUAUGGAAACAUUUUGAUUUGACCAAAGUUUUAUCUGCUGGAAAUCUGCAUAAACGCUCUGGCACGGGAUAGGCACAAUACAGCAUAGCUGUCCUUUAUGAGAGUGUGCAGCGUUUGAAAAUACCACUUUGACUUCAAGUUCAGACUCAAGUUCAAAUGUAUCACCCCAGAUCUCAAAGUGCGGAGGCCUUGUUGAGAUCCCUGUGUUUUGGCAUUGAGGUGUUUGGCAGCGCAUGUCAAAAGCAGAAUACAUUUAUUACAGGGGGAAUGGGAAGGAAUGAGCUCAUAGGCAUUAACGGCUGCGGGUUCGAACGAGGGGAAAAGAGGAGAGAAGGAGGGAGAGAAGGAGGGACAGCGAAGCGAUGGAAAAGAUGAAAAGACUGAGAAAAUAACACACGAGAUGAGUCUGUGCCAGAUAAAAGGGCGGUUUAGACCAAAAGAGGAGAGUUUGAGUUUGACAGGAAUUAGCAUGGCGUCUGUGUGGUGAAAGCGGGACCUUAAAUGACCUUCUCUCUGAAGGCACCAUCACUAAGCGAGACUACAUGUGCGCAGAUCACAUGAUCUAUUAAAUGAGGUGGAUGACGAAUAUAACAACAAAACUAUAUCACAAAAACAGAAAGUCAUUAAACAACACAAAAUAUUACUAUUACUGCUCAUUCGUUAAUCAGUUGUAAUAACUGUGUUAAACCCUUUGCGACCUAUUUACUAGUUUGCCUCAUAAAAUACAUUAUAAACAAAACAAAGAUUAUCUCCCUUUUGAAUGUGUAAGAAAGUAUUGUUUAAGUUAGUUGAAAAAAUCUGCAGAAAUUACACCUCAGCUUUGGUAAUUAUCACAGAAAAUGUUAGAAUUAAUGUUGUAUAGUAGAGUAGUACAGAUUAAGAGUUAAACGGAUAUAGUACAAUUUGCUGUCAUUAGACGAUUGAACUCUUGCGAGAACCUAUAGCUUACGAGGCACUAUAUAUUUGGAGGCCUAGGUGCAAGAAGCCUCACCUGGGCCCCCUUCUAAUAUUAUUUAAUAGGAAGAGGGUCUAAUUCUGUUUUCUGUUGUCCCUGGUACAACGGACAAUAGAUCCCUUUGUCCCCCCCGCCUACUCUCCUGAUUCAGAACUAAAUAAAUAAGUCAUCAUAUUGCUCUCAUUUUGUUAUAACAGGGACCACAGUGACAGCAGACAACCAGGUCAGACCUAUUUAGACCCUGGACUUCCCCAAAAGUGUCCUACUGACUCAUACCUAUGGCAGAAUGCUCACACGGCUUAAAAUAUAAACAGGAAUGAGGUGGCUACAUGGCAUUUAGUCUGAUUGAGGCCAUUGGAACAUCCUUUAAAAUGUUUCUUGUCUUGACAAGUAAUAUCAAACAGUACUUAAGGAAAUUAUUUGCCCCAAGGUGCACAGUGAAGGGACUUGCUAUAGAUACGGCAUUAUCAGAUAUACCGGUUACAGCCUUUACAUGUGAAAUUCAGAUUUUCUUUUGAGAUUUGGCACAUUUGUGAUUAUUGCAGAGGAAACACGGACCAGUGCACUCGACAUAGGGGCACAUAUAAAGGGGCAGAGGCAGGACACCGUCUUUCAAGGGAGUGCCACUUGACUGGUCAUUUCCUUCUAACCUAAUUCUCCAUUCUGUCAUUGAAAAGCUAUUUUUAUAAGAGGCCACAGGAAGUCUGGGAGUUGACAAGAACACGCACAUACAGUAUACACACAGCUAUGAGAAAGGCUACACUACAGUUACUAAGUAACAUACUAAAAUGCAACAUAAACUCACACAUACAUGUAUCGUCUUUUGUUAAGUGCUAAAAUAAAAUGAGCCAAUACUAAAUAGUAAGAUUUCACACAUCUUUGUAGUGCAAGUUUUUUAUCAGACAAAUAAUUUUGAUUAAUUUGUGUAUUUCUGUUGGCCAGGGGAAUUCCUGGCAGAGUGAUUUUUGACACUCCAUAACUAAAUCACAUUGCCAGGGAUUUCCAAUGGCUGACAUGAAAAGUUCGUCUUAUAUUUAGAUAUUAUAUUUUCAAAAACAAUCUUUGUGUGCACCUGCUCCUGAGCUGGCUGUGCGGCCUCAGGACUUAGCUCACAUGUGAACAGUGAAUGUCGGCCAUGUUCACAGUGGUUAAGUUCUGCCGCCACAGGGCUGCAGUCUACAGGGGGCAGUAAAGGUCACUGGGGGAACAUAAUACAUAAAACAAAAGGUUUAGGGCUAGUUUUAUAGAUAGUGGAUACAAACCUUUAACAGAAAAUUUUGUCAUAUAUUCUUUUUCAUUAAUCACAUCCAAUCUAACAGCAUGAGUGAAGAGCCUGCAGAGAGGUUCAAAGAUGGUCUAAUGGUCAGCGGGGGUGCAGCAGGUAUACAGUUGGAGGGGAGUUUCUCGUGAGAGCCGGUAAUGUGGUGAAUUAGCUGAAAGCGUGCGACCAGUGUCUGUUAAAUGUCAGGGCUCUCAUUAGUGCGGAAAGGCUAUGAGCGAGCGAUAUGUCGUCAUUUGUAUCCACAGCUGCCCAGGUCUCACAGUGGCAGUACGGUGUGUUUCUACCUUUUGAUUUGCCUGUGUGUGUGUGUGCGCGUGUGUGUGUGUGUGUGUGUGUAAGUGAGUGUGUGUGUGUCCCUCGCUGGGCUGGUCUCCUGUGCCUGCUGUGCUGAUAAUCAGUGUGUGACGUUGGCUGGCUCAGUUCAGCAGGAACAGGGGACUGGUCUCAUUUCUAUUUAAGACCACUCUGAUAACUUUGCUUAUAUAUUACUUGCUGGUAUAUACAAUGGAUGUACUGACGUGUGCACAAAAGACUUGGAGAGGUGUCAGAAUGUGGCUUUGAUGUUGUCUGUGGUUAUUGUGUUUACCAUAGAAUGUGAUAUUUUUUCCAGUUACAUAUGACAGACGAUUUCCUCAUGUUGUUUCUGUGAACUGUAUUGGAAACCUGAAAAAAAAAUAAAAAUACAACAUGAGCUGCAGGUGAUUAUAAAAUAGCUGCAUUUGAAAAUUUUACUUAAAAGCCAAAGGAGCAUUUCUAAAUAUGUAGAAAAAAUAAAAAUAAGUGCUUUACGUGUUUUGUUGUUGUAAUUAAAUGUAUCCAUUGUUUAUUUUGUUAUAUGUGAUAUUAUGUGUAGAAAUCUGGAAACUAUGUGUGAUAUAAAAAUAAUUAUUUAAAUAAAGAAGCUAAAGUA
Long non-coding RNA from Boleophthalmus pectinirostris (great blue-spotted mudskipper), 5497 nucleotides. RefSeq lists it as uncharacterized. Lineage: Eukaryota; Metazoa; Chordata; Actinopteri; Gobiiformes; Gobiidae. The record is from RefSeq and is a predicted model, not a curated record. The transcript is spliced from 2 exons.